AACAGCGGAGAGUUUGAUCCUGGCUCAGGAUGAACGCUAGCGGCAGGCUUAACACAUGCAAGUCGAGCGGCAGCGGGGUAGGAGCUUGCUCCUACCGCCGGCGAGCGGCGCACGGGUGAGUAACACGUAUGCAACCUGCCCUUGUCAGGGGGACAACCCGCCGAAAGGCGGGCUA
This 175-nucleotide ribosomal RNA is filed under the name Bacteroidales bacterium. Its description in RNAcentral is "partial 16S ribosomal RNA". It matches the Rfam family "Bacterial small subunit ribosomal RNA", at positions 1 to 165 of the family's 1533-position model. The record is from RNAcentral. Lineage: Bacteria; Pseudomonadati; Bacteroidota; Bacteroidia; Bacteroidales.